GGGGGGAAGGAAGGGAGAGGAGAUGGAACCACUUGGGAGAGGUGCUCGUCGCACUGCUUAAUGCGAUCUUCAGGGGGAGGCACGCAGCACCGCAGAGAAUAAAGCUGCCGAGGCCUGAGAGAGCACCGUGGAGCACGAGGAGGCCUGUCUGUGGGAAGAAAUGUCCCUCAGGCCCUGUGCUGCCCAAGGGAAGAGGUGGUGUGAGCUUGGGAGAGAAAACAGAGACCAUCCUCUCUGCAAGGCUGGGUAGCACGCAUGGAGGCCUACCCUGACACCACCUAACUUCAUGCUCAGGACCUUCUGGGAUCUUGGGAGGCUCCUGUCCUCCAAAAACCCAGCUUUUGGGCAACUUGUGUAAAUGGCAGAAGAAGUCACAGGCUGCUGGGCAUGUCCAUGACAUAACCGGCGCUCGGCCUGGGUGACUCACCCCCGUACCCGGAGCCUUCCCAGGCUUCAGACGGAGAACAAAGGCAGCCUGCAGCUCCCCGCGUGCCCGCAGAGCCGGGUUACUCACCCAGACACCAGGAAGUCGCUCGGGCUUUUGUUUUGUGGUGUGGAUGUGCAGGGGCUCAUUCGGGGAAAGCAGCCGCCCCGGUCAGUGUUUCCAGAGCUGUGAAUUGCUUUUUCCAACGCUGAGCAACCUGGCACUGAGGCAGCGGUGCUGCCAUGGGACAGACACAGCUGGUGCCACCCCACUGCUCCGUCAGGUCCCCCCCUGUCCUCCAGCAGAUGCUGAACAAGAUCAGGUGCAGGAGAAAAGGUUGGAUGCAUCAAUCUCAGCACCAGAAAUGGGUAAAAACCAGGACACUAUUUUUUCUAGGAAAUAUUGCCCGACUGCUUUAGUUUCAUAUGUGUUUGGAAGUUCAUCUCCAGCCUCCAUGUUAUAUUACCAUCUACAGAAUACAUCGCUCUGCAUCUGCAGGAAGAUGCACAAGAACACUUCUUCCCCUGUUGGCAGCUCUCUGUGACGGUCAUGCAUGGAGCAAAUCACAUUUUGACUCCUUUCCAGGGCUGCUCUAGCACUCCCUGUAAUUUUUGUGGAGGAUCCGCCGCAGCCAUCAUAAUGAAACUCGUUCCCUUGUUGUGGUCAGCACUACUUUCAUCACGCAUUUGCAAUAACGCUCCUUCUUCUUCUUCCUUUUUUUUUUUUUUUUUUUGNUUUUUUUUGGCCUGUAUUUGUCAGCGCCUUCCUCUCCUUCCAGCAAGUGUUAGUUAAGACAUUCCUAGAAUAGGCUUCAGAAGGACUUCUCAUGGAAAUGAGGCAUUUCACAAGGGGUGUCGUUGGACCUGCCAAUACCACGAGGGAUGCUGGGGACCCUCCUGCCAUUCUGGGGUGCCCACGGUGUAAAACUUUCCCUGUUUUGGAUAAAUGCUGCCUGGAUAAAUGGCCAGACCUAGAUGUUAGGCUGCUGUUAAUGGUCAACCUACAACAUCAUUUGCUCAGGAACAUCUUCUGAGUAAAGCCUCCUCCAUCUGGGGACAAGAAGCAACUUGAAUGAGUAAAAUUACGUGUGUGUUUGUCCAGGCCUUGGAAACUAGCCAGAG
This 1545-nucleotide long non-coding RNA is filed under the name Anser brachyrhynchus (Pink-footed goose). RNAcentral describes it as "lncRNA (ENSABRG00000018708.1)". Lineage: Eukaryota; Metazoa; Chordata; Aves; Anseriformes; Anatidae. The record is from RNAcentral.